RNAcentral lists this ribosomal RNA (374 nucleotides) under uncultured organism. Its description in RNAcentral is "partial 16S ribosomal RNA". It matches the Rfam family "Bacterial small subunit ribosomal RNA", at positions 527 to 896 of the family's 1533-position model. The record is from RNAcentral.
GGAGAGUGCGAGCGUUGUUCGGGAAUCAUUGGGCGUAAAGGGCGUCUAGGUGGCGUGCUAAGUCAGAUGUGAAAUCCCUCGGGCUCAACCGAGGACGUGCAUUUGAAACUAGUAUGCCCUGAGUACCGGAGGGGGCAGCGGAAUUCUCGGUGUAGAGGUGAAAUUCGUAGAUAUCGGGAGGAACACCAGUGGCGAAGGCGGCUGCCUGGCCGGAUACUGACACUGAAGCGCGAAAGCGUGGGGAGCAAACAGGAUUAGAUACCCUGGUAGUCCACGCCGUAAACGAUGGGCACUAGCUAUACGAGGUGUUGACCCCUGGUGUGGCGUAGCUAACGCAAUAAGUGCCCCGCCUGGGGAGUACGGCCGCAAGGCUA